UUGGACAAUCCAGAGGCCAUUAAAAGGCCCUCUAAUGUUUAAAGAAAAAAGAUCAGAAGUGGUACGAUAUAACAUGAUGCAGCAUACUAUACUUUUGGCUUGUUGACUGACCCCCUUUAUUUACUGCCCUUUGUAUUACCCUCUCACUGGACGGUAGUCUGGGCCGCCCCGUCCGUCAGUCCGUCCCCGCCCGGCAGCUGACGUCACCCACUCCCAGUGUGUUUAUUCUUUCUGGGCCUUGGUUCUGUCGCUAUCAGCCCACUGCCCCGCCUAUAAACCUUUUGCCUUUCCCUCACUUUUUCUCAUUGCAUUUACUCACUUUCUGCUUCUUCUUCUUCUUCUUCUCUCUCUUUCUCUCUGUGUGCAUGGAAGCGAUAGAAAAGCUUUCAAAGGUGAAAGUCAGGCUUAAGUUUCUUCAAGGCAAUCUUGAAUUUAAAAUCAUGCAUAAGAGCAUGAACCACGCCACCGUCUGCAACGCUUCAAGUAGUGGAUUUUUGGCCGGAUUCAAGUUUGAUGCUAAAAGUCCCUUUUUAAUGGUGGCUUGUUCACGAUAAUUGGGUGCUAUCCUACCUGAGCUUUUUCUAUCAUUUUUUUUUUGUUUUUAAGCUUCUUGACCUUGUAAGACCUUUUUUUAAUCUUAUAAGACCCCUUCUUACAUCCAUUGUAAACUCUAAAUCAGAAUUUCUUGAUUUAGAGUUUCAAAUUCAUUUUUUGCUGUUUUCACCCAACUCAUCUUCUCCUUCCUUGUCUAUCCCUCUUGAGCUGUUUGACUAAAAGUAAUAUAUCUAUUUUCAAAAUCCCCCCAAUUAAACAAUAAUUAGAAGCCUAAUGCAAGCCGUGGAGCCUUUGUUAUCUUUCUUACUCUAUUAAGGUAAUCAAUUUAUAUCGUUAUUAUUUCUGCAGAAGUAUGCUGUUGCAGGCAUCAGUUCGUUGCUUUAUGUGUUGUUGGCUGAGAAGCAAGAGAAUAAAUAUUCUCUCGGAUAUGUGUAAAGACUAAAGACUUCUCCCCGUGACUGCUUUCUCUUAUGUACAAACGUAUAUAUCCACUGUAUUAUUGGAGAGCUCCUCCCUCUCCCUCUCUCUCUCCUUAUCCCUAAGGACUUUUUGUACCAAGAAAGUUGUUAAUGAAAAAGCUGAUUACCCUACAGUGAGAAGCAUUUUUUCCACACCCCAUAAAUGUCAAGAGAGAGAGGGAGAGAGAGUCUUCUUUUCUUCAUAUUUUAAAUUGAUGUUUCUCCUUUCAUUGCAAGACAAGUAGAAUAAUAGUUUGAGAGCUUAAUUUGGCAGUUGAUAUGCCCUAACAGUUGUACCCAUUAAUUUCUACAUAUACUAGAGCAAUCAGCACUUCAGCAGUCU
Long non-coding RNA from Hevea brasiliensis (rubber tree), 1356 nucleotides. RefSeq lists it as uncharacterized. NCBI's taxonomy places the organism in Eukaryota, Viridiplantae, Streptophyta, Magnoliopsida, Malpighiales, Euphorbiaceae. The transcript is spliced from 2 exons. The record is from RefSeq and is a predicted model, not a curated record.